Molecule: ribosomal RNA, 82 nt
Filed under: Olea europaea subsp. europaea
Lineage: Eukaryota; Viridiplantae; Streptophyta; Magnoliopsida; Lamiales; Oleaceae
Description: LSU_rRNA_archaea
Source: RNAcentral
AACAUGUCGAAUUAAAACAUCUUAGUAAUCAGAGGAAAAUAAAGCAAAAGUGAAUUUCUUGGUAGCGAUGAGCGAAUUGGAA